CGCUGAGGAACCACCUGUUCCCAUACCGAACACAGAAGUUAAGCUCAGCAGUGCCGAAGAUACUUGGUGGGGGACUGCCUGGAAAAAUAGGUCUAUGCCGGUU
Molecule: ribosomal RNA, 103 nt
Filed under: bacterium 1XD42-1
Lineage: Bacteria
Source: RNAcentral